This 430-nucleotide ribosomal RNA is filed under the name Pseudomonadota bacterium. RNAcentral's name for it is "Proteobacteria bacterium partial 16S ribosomal RNA". It matches the Rfam family "Bacterial small subunit ribosomal RNA", at positions 355 to 776 of the family's 1533-position model. Lineage: Bacteria; Pseudomonadati; Pseudomonadota. The record is from RNAcentral.
UGGGGAAUAUUGGACAAUGGGGGGAACCCUGAUCCAGCCAUGCCGCGUGUGUGAGGAAGGCCUUAUGGUUGUAAAGCACUUUAAGCGAGGAGGAGGGUACUGGUAUUAAUACUACCAGCUACUGGACGUUACUCGCAGAAUAAGCACCGGCUAACUCUGUGCCAGCAGCCGCGGUAAUACAGAGGGUGCGAGCGUUAAUCGGAUUUACUGGGCGUAAAGCGUGCGUAGGCGGCUAAUUGAGUCGGAUGUGAAAUCCCCGAGCUUAACUUGGGAAUUGCAUUCGAUACUGGUUAGCUAGAGUGUGGGAGAGGAUGGUAGAAUUCCAGGUGUAGCGGUGAAAUGCGUAGAGAUCUGGAGGAAUACCGAUGGCGAAGGCAGCCAUCUGGCCUAACACUGACGCUGAGGUACGAAAGCAUGGGGAGCAAACAGG